AGCCACCUUCGGGUGGUGGAAAGUGGCAGACGGGUGAGUAACGCGUGGGAACGUGCCUUUCGGUUCGGGAUAACCCAGGGAAACUUGGGCUAAUACCGGAUACGCCCUCCGGGGGAAAGAUUCAUUGCCGAAAGAUCGGCCCGCGUCGGAUUAGCUAGUUGGUGGGGUAAAAGCCUACCAAGGCGACGAUCCGUAGCUGGUCUGAGAGGAUGACCAGCCACACUGGGACUGAGACACGGCCCAGACUCCUACGGGAGGCAGCAGUGGGGAAUAUUGGACAAUGGGCGCAAGCCUGAUCCAGCCAUGCCGCGUGGGUGAAGAAGGCCCUAGGG
RNAcentral lists this ribosomal RNA (332 nucleotides) under uncultured bacterium. RNAcentral describes it as "bacterial SSU rRNA". It matches the Rfam family "Bacterial small subunit ribosomal RNA", at positions 72 to 422 of the family's 1533-position model. The record is from RNAcentral.